GCGGAUAUGGCGGAACUGGCAGACGCGUUAGAUUCAGGUUCUAAUCGGGGCAACCCGGUGCAGGUUCAAGUCCUGUUAUCCGCACCA
This 87-nucleotide transfer RNA is filed under the name Clostridiales bacterium. Its description in RNAcentral is "tRNA-Leu". It matches the Rfam family "tRNA". Rfam says of the family: Transfer RNA (tRNA) molecules are approximately 80 nucleotides in length. Their secondary structure includes four short double-helical elements and three loops (D, anti-codon, and T loops). RNAcentral also lists the same sequence under 2 other names. The record is from RNAcentral. Lineage: Bacteria; Bacillati; Bacillota; Clostridia; Eubacteriales.